This 253-nucleotide ribosomal RNA is filed under the name uncultured bacterium. Its description in RNAcentral is "partial 16S ribosomal RNA". It matches the Rfam family "Bacterial small subunit ribosomal RNA", at positions 524 to 776 of the family's 1533-position model. The record is from RNAcentral.
UACGUAGGGUACGAGCGUUGUCCGGAAUUAUUGGGCGUAAAGAGCUCGUAGGUGGUUGGUCACGUCUGCUGUGGAAACGCAACGCUUAACGUUGCGCGUGCAGUGGGUACGGGCUGACUAGAGUGCAGUAGGGGAGUCUGGAAUUCCUGGUGUAGCGGUGAAAUGCGCAGAUAUAAGGAGGAACACCGGUGGCGAAGGCGGGACUCUGGGCUGUAACUGACACUGAGGAGCGAAAGCAUGGGGAGCGAACAGG